RNA transcript from Cryptomeria japonica (Japanese cedar), 2262 nucleotides. It is a transcript of the gene named peptidyl-prolyl cis-trans isomerase CYP28, chloroplastic, with no coding region annotated. The record is from RefSeq and is a predicted model, not a curated record. The transcript has 3 exons. Lineage: Eukaryota; Viridiplantae; Streptophyta; Pinopsida; Cupressales; Cupressaceae.
AAACUGAAACUUGUUUCGCUUGCAGAACGAAUUCCAUGGAUUUUCCUCGUCUUCCAAUUCCCUAACCAUGGUGUUGGCCACACGAUUGCCAUUCCCACCGCCCGCCCUCAAACUCUCCUCACCUCUCCAUCACAAAUAUAGAACCACCACGUUCCAGGUUCGACUCCAUUCCAAGCCGGCUCCUCCUCAAUCCUCCAGCAGCCGCAGAGAAAUUCUCAUUUCCACUGGUCUUUUAGUCGCCACAGCCGCCACAGCCGCCGCCGAGGAGGAGGAGGAAGCAGCAGAGCCUGCAGCCGCAACGGACACAACAAUUACAGAUCGAGUUUUCCUGGACAUUACAAUGUGUCCGACCUCUUUCAAGCCCGAGCGCACUGCAUCCUCCACAAAUAACAACUCUUCCGCCGCCGCCCCUGCGAGCCCAGCCAAAACUGCGGCGGCGGUGGCAGAGUCGUUUUGUCCAGAGGGGGAGCCACUGGGUCGCAUUGUUAUAGGACUGUAUGGAAAGCAGGUGCCGCGCACUGUGGCAAAUUUUAAGGCAAUGUGCACUGGAACAUCAGGGAGUAAAUACGAGGGCACGCUGAUACAUAAGAUUUUUCCUGGUCAGUAUUUUAUGGCGGGUAAACAGGGGCGCAGGGAGAAGGGAGAGGUUCCGCCGCCUGCUAAUUUACAGAGGAAUACAGAGACCGUGGAAGCUAGGGCUUUUAAGCUGAGGCAUCUCAAACCCGGGACGGUCUCACUUUGUUUGUCGGAGAAUGAUGAUGAGGAACAGUAUAAGUUAACCCCUGAUUACAGAAACGUGGAGUUUAUGGUCACCAUAGGCCCAGGCCCCUGCCCUCAGCUGGAUAAUGCAAACAUUGUCUUCGGCACAGUACUUGAAGGAAUGGAUGUUGUGACAGCUAUAGCAGCUAUUCCUACCUACAAGCCUGGUGAGCGCAUCCGACAAUUUAAUGAUUUGGCUGAAUUUCUAGGGGAUGAGAGAGCUCAAAAUGCUCGUAAUAUAUGGAACCGUCCUCUUAAGAAUAUCUUCAUAAGUUCCAGUGGGGAACUGAGAGUUGCAAAGCCAUCUCUUGCACCAAGUUUACCAUGACUGUCAAAUGGAAUGGUAUCUGGACUGUCAAGGACAUGCAUUUUGCCGAGUCUAGUCACAUGUUCAGGUCUGUCAGCUAUGAAUAAAUCUGGUGUGCCAUCAGUGUGGUUGUACCCAGAUAGAUACCCUGCUGAGAAAAAUGGAGACACUAUACUUUGAGACUGUUGAUGGCUUGCUGCACUCAGAAAAGCAUCCUCAGAAAGAUGUGUUCCGGGUAAGAAUUAUUUUCUCUCCCACCUAUAAGUAAUAACAAGGUCACAUUAUCUCACAGCCACAGCCUCAAAUAAGCAAAAAAUGCUUCUUCUAACACCCCCAAUAGUAUUGCUAUUAACCAAUGCUUAAAUUACCCCGAGUUUGUCCUGCAGAAAAAAAAUUGCAUGCACCUGCAAUUAAGCUGCAUUUUCUGUUGUCCAUGUGGAUCAGAUUUGAGUAUGUCUAUCGUUUUUGAAGAUAGACGUUAUAAAUUUUAUUUAUUUAUAUGUAAAGCUUUUGUUUGUAAUUCUGCAAGAUAUUCUUUGAUUCUGUAUAAUUUAAAUCCUUAAUCAAAUGCAACUGCUUAUUCAAGUCCAUGUAACUUAGUAAAUGGCAAAAGAAAGGAAGUUAAAGUUCCAAGGGAAUGCAAUGUUUGGAUACAUGAAUGUACUUAAGUGGAAGAGAAAUUGCUUUUUUGAGGCAAGAUUCUUGUUGAAUUACCUUUAUAAUGCUGGAUUUCAUCAUUGCCUUUGCCAAGCAAUAUGAACUUCUAUUUUUGAAGCCAGAAUAUUGACAUAGGUGUAUAACAUCAAAGAUGGGAGUACCAUGUACUUAAAAUUCUUUACAUUGAAGCAAUGUAAGUAAAGUGGUAUAAAAGGGACUUACAUGGAGAGCUUGGUAUGCUGAGAGUUUUCUGGCAUCAUUUCGUCUAUAGUUUCUCGUUUCUUUGUGGUUAUCCAGUUCUUUGCAUGUCAAGAGAGGGAAGUUAUUCAAAUAUUUGGGAUCGUCUUGUUGGAGCUUCCUUAUGAAAUCUUGUGUUUCCUGAUUAUGAUAUACUACAAACUCAGAUUGGAAGAUUUUCUUUAUCUCUCUCUGUAUUUUUAAUUUUUGGCAUUGAUCCAGGUUUAUAUCUGAAACUUAUAAAGAAGUAAACUUAUCAUAUAUUUGUGAUUCUUAUUGAAUAUUUCCAUUCCAUUGCUUGC